This 1540-nucleotide ribosomal RNA is filed under the name Staphylococcus aureus. RNAcentral's name for it is "16S ribosomal RNA". It matches the Rfam family "Bacterial small subunit ribosomal RNA". The record is from RNAcentral. Lineage: Bacteria; Bacillati; Bacillota; Bacilli; Caryophanales; Staphylococcaceae.
AGAGUUUGAUCCUGGCUCAGGAUGAACGCUGGCGGCGUGCCUAAUACAUGCAAGUCGAGCGAACGGACGAGAAGCUUGCUUCUCUGAUGUUAGCGGCGGACGGGUGAGUAACACGUGGAUAACCUACCUAUAAGACUGGGAUAACUUCGGGAAACCGGAGCUAAUACCGGAUAAUAUUUUGAACCGCAUGGUUCAAAAGUGAAAGACGGUCUUGCUGUCACUUAUAGAUGGAUCCGCGCUGCAUUAGCUAGUUGGUAAGGUAACGGCUUACCAAGGCAACGAUGCAUAGCCGACCUGAGAGGGUGAACGGCCACACUGGAACUGAGACACGGUCCAGACUCCUACGGGAGGCAGCAGUAGGGAAUCUUCCGCAAUGGGCGAAAGCCUGACGGAGCAACGCCGCGUGAGUGAUGAAGGUCUUCGGAUCGUAAAACUCUGUUAUUAGGGAAGAACAUAUGUGUAAGUAACUGUGCACAUCUUGACGGUACCUAAUCAGAAAGCCACGGCUAACUACGUGCCAGCAGCCGCGGUAAUACGUAGGUGGCAAGCGUUAUCCGGAAUUAUUGGGCGUAAAGCGCGCGUAGGCGGUUUUUUAAGUCUGAUGUGAAAGCCCACGGCUCAACCGUGGAGGGUCAUUGGAAACUGGAAAACUUGAGUGCAGAAGAGGAAAGUGGAAUUCCAUGUGUAGCGGUGAAAUGCGCAGAGAUAUGGAGGAACACCAGUGGCGAAGGCGACUUUCUGGUCUGUAACUGACGCUGAUGUGCGAAAGCGUGGGGAUCAAACAGGAUUAGAUACCCUGGUAGUCCACGCCGUAAACGAUGAGUGCUAAGUGUUAGGGGGUUUCCGCCCCUUAGUGCUGCAGCUAACGCAUUAAGCACUCCGCCUGGGGAGUACGACCGCAAGGUUGAAACUCAAAGGAAUUGACGGGGACCCGCACAAGCGGUGGAGCAUGUGGUUUAAUUCGAAGCAACGCGAAGAACCUUACCAAAUCUUGACAUCCUUUGACAACUCUAGAGAUAGAGCCUUCCCCUUCGGGGGGCAAAGUGACAGGUGGUGCAUGGUUGUCGUCAGCUCGUGUCGUGAGAUGUUGGGUUAAGUCCCGCAACGAGCGCAACCCUUAAGCUUAGUUGCCAUCAUUAAGUUGGGCACUCUAAGUUGACUGCCGGUGACAAACCGGAGGAAGGUGGGGAUGACGUCAAAUCAUCAUGCCCCUUAUGAUUUGGGCUACACACGUGCUACAAUGGACAAUACAAAGGGCAGCGAAACCGCGAGGUCAAGCAAAUCCCAUAAAGUUGUUCUCAGUUCGGAUUGUAGUCUGCAACUCGACUACAUGAAGCUGGAAUCGCUAGUAAUCGUAGAUCAGCAUGCUACGGUGAAUACGUUCCCGGGUCUUGUACACACCGCCCGUCACACCACGAGAGUUUGUAACACCCGAAGCCGGUGGAGUAACCUUUUAGGAGCUAGCCGUCGAAGGUGGGACAAAUGAUUGGGGUGAAGUCGUAACAAGGUAGCCGUAUCGGAAGGUGCGGCUGGAUCACCU